CCUACGGGUGGCAGCAGUGGGGAAUAUUGCGCAAUGGGCGAAAGCCUGACGCAGCGACGCCGCGUGAAGGAAGAAGGCUUUCGGGUUGUAAACUUCUUUUAAGGGGGAAGAGCAGAAGACGGUACCCCUUGAAUAAGCCACGGCUAACUACGUGCCAGCAGCCGCGGUAAUACGUAGGUGGCAAGCGUUGUCCGGAUUUACUGGGUGUAAAGGGCGUGCAGCCGGAGAGACAAGUCAGAUGUGAAAUCCACGGGCUCAACCCGUGAACUGCAUUUGAAACUGUUUCCCUUGAGUGUCGGAGAGGUAAUCGGAAUUCCUUGUGUAGCGGUGAAAUGCGUAGAUAUAAGGAAGAACACCAGUGGCGAAGGCGGAUUACUGGACGAUAACUGACGGUGAGGCGCGAAAGCGUGGGGAGCAAACAGGAUUAGAUACCCUUGUAGUC
Molecule: ribosomal RNA, 442 nt
Filed under: uncultured bacterium
Lineage: Bacteria
Description: partial 16S ribosomal RNA
Rfam family: Bacterial small subunit ribosomal RNA
Source: RNAcentral